RNAcentral lists this ribosomal RNA (440 nucleotides) under uncultured bacterium. RNAcentral's name for it is "partial 16S ribosomal RNA". It matches the Rfam family "Bacterial small subunit ribosomal RNA", at positions 338 to 795 of the family's 1533-position model. The record is from RNAcentral.
CCUACGGGAGGCAGCAGUAGGGAAUAUUGCUCAAUGGGGGAAACCCUGAAGCAGCAACGCCGCGUGGAGGAAGAAGGUUUUCGGAUUGUAAACUCCUUUUGUUAGAGAAGAUAAUGACGGUAUCUAACGAAUAAGCACCGGCUAACUCCGUGCCAGCAGCCGCGGUAAUACGGAGGGUGCAAGCGUUACUCGGAAUCACUGGGCGUAAAGAGCGCGUAGGCGGGAUAGCAAGUCAGAUGUGAAAUCCUAUGGCUUAACCAUAGAACUGCAUUUGAAACUGUUAUUCUAGAGUAUGGGAGAGGUAGGUGGAAUUCUUGGUGUAGGGGUAAAAUGCGUAGAGAUCAAGAGGAAUACUGAUUGCGAAGGCGACCUGCUAGAACAUAACUGACGCUGAUGCGCGAAAGCGUGGGGAGCAAACAGGAUUAGAUACCCUAGUAGUC